Long non-coding RNA from Oreochromis aureus, 590 nucleotides. RefSeq lists it as uncharacterized. NCBI's taxonomy places the organism in Eukaryota, Metazoa, Chordata, Actinopteri, Cichliformes, Cichlidae. The transcript is spliced from 3 exons. The record is from RefSeq and is a predicted model, not a curated record.
CUUAACAGCAGCAACACAGCACUGGCUUCUGUUUCUGGCGAUUACUUGAGGAUGAUCUGUUUCGGAGGCAAAGACAAGUCACUGAGUAGUUUCACACAACAGUUGUGGCUCUCAUGCAGUUUCCUGAUUCAAAGUGUUGAUUUCUCAUCUGUUAAUACUCUCCCACUCAGGCUCCACUGUCAGCGGUGCUGUGUUGCAUGAUGUGACAGCUAGUCGUGGCUAGAAUAAAGCAUUUUACAUUGCAAUGAUGGAUGUCAAAAUGUUCUUGAGUCAGGCACAAGACUUUACUUGUAGUGCAGACAGUUAGUGUUGAAAAAUGCAAAAGAAUAAACUGUUGCAGAUUAUGUGUUGCAUUACAUCCUUUAUUUAGACUCUCACAGAUCAGCUCAGAGCUGGUACUCAGAAGUGUUAAUCAGCGGGUUAAAUGAUUUUUCCCAUGAAAAUUUCACAGACUACACAAUUCUCAAUCCUACCCGACCCACCUACUAUCUAAAAUCAUUCACUGCAUAGUCACUGAACAUCAGCUUUGAAUGCAACACUUGUGCAGCAUAUAUUGUGCAUUAAAACAUGCAUUGGCUAAUUACACAGGG